UGACGUCAAAUCAUCAUGCCCCUUAUGACCUGGGCUACACACGUGCUACAAUGGUUGGUACAACGAGUUGCGAGUCGGUGACGGCGAGCUAAUCUCUUAAAGCCAAUCUCAGUUCGGAUUGUAGGCUGCAACUCGCCUACAUGAAGUCGGAAUCGCUAGUAAUCGCGGAUCAGCACGCCCGCGGUCCGAAUACGUUCCGGGCCUU
Molecule: ribosomal RNA, 205 nt
Filed under: uncultured Streptococcus sp.
Lineage: Bacteria; Bacillati; Bacillota; Bacilli; Lactobacillales; Streptococcaceae
Description: partial 16S ribosomal RNA
Rfam family: Bacterial small subunit ribosomal RNA
Source: RNAcentral